GGGGAUGUAGCUCAGUUGGUAGAGUGUUUGCCUCGAAUGCACAAAGCCCUGGGUUCAAUCCCCAGCACCAUUA
This is a non-coding RNA of Sciurus carolinensis (gray squirrel), 73 nucleotides long. Lineage: Eukaryota; Metazoa; Chordata; Mammalia; Rodentia; Sciuridae. The record is from the annotation of a RefSeq genome assembly.